GUCAUGGCUCAGGAUGAACGCUAGCUACAGGCCUAACACAUGCAAGUCGAGGGGAAACGGCAGCUUAGCUUGCUAAGCUGGACGUCGACCGGCGCACGGGUGAGUAACGCGUAUCCAACCUGCCCCACGGUGAGGGAUAACCCGCGGAAACGCGGCCUAAUACCUCAUGGCCUCCGAGCUUGACAUCAAUCUUGGAGUAAAGAUUCAUUGCCGUGGGAUGGGGAUGCGUCUGAUUAG
Molecule: ribosomal RNA, 237 nt
Filed under: uncultured bacterium
Lineage: Bacteria
Description: partial 16S ribosomal RNA
Rfam family: Bacterial small subunit ribosomal RNA
Source: RNAcentral